GCCUUGAUUGUGGCAGUUAGUCGCAGCGCGAUGAGCGCCUCGCUCGCCUCCGCCCAGGAGGUCGGGCUGGGCCUUGAGGCAGCUGUUGUUGGUAGCGCUGAACGUGGCUGCGCCCAUUGAACGGCGAGGGAGCGACGGGAGCCGCUAUAGGUGAGGCCGCCUCGGCAAGCCUCGCCGCCCAAAGAGAAGGCGCGAGAGAGAGAAACCUCCCAUAUGGAUAAGCUUGGUAGUGAUGUUGAAGCUGGAAAAAAGCAUCUAUAAUAAAAAAACAGGAUGAGUCGGCUGCUAGAUGAUCAAGAAAAUGCCCAUGGCAGCAGUCUGGGCUCCCAUCCUUCUUUACGGGAACUUCAUUCCAUCAACCCUGCACAGCUAAUGGCAAGAAUUGAAUCUUAUGAAAGCAGAGAGAAAAAAGGCAUAUCUGAUGUCCGAAGGACUUUCUGCUUGUUUGUCACUUUUGACCUCUUGUUUGUAACCUUGCUGUGGAUAAUAGAGCUAAAUGUAAAUGGUGGCAUUGAGAAAACAUUAGAAAAAGAAGUCCUCCACUAUGACUACCGUUUUUCAUAUUUUGAUAUAUUUCUCCUGGCAGUCUUUCGGUUUAAGAUUUUGAUACUUGCUUAUGCAUUGUGCAGACUGCGACACUGGUGGGCAAUAGCAUUUACUACAGCAGUAACCAGUGCCUUCCUAUUAGUAAAAGUCAUUCUCUCUAAGCUAUUAUCUCAAGGUGCUUUUGGCUAUGUGUUGCCCAUCAUAUCUUUCAUUCUUGCCUGGAUAGAAACCUGGUUUCUGGAUUUCAAAGUUCUACCACAAGAAGCAGAAGAGGAAAACAGAUUACUGUUGGUUCAGGAUGCCUCUGAGCGAGCUGCCCUUAUUCAGCCUGGUCUCCCCUCUGAAGGGCAGUUUUAUUCCCCUCCUGAAUCUGAAGCAGAAAUCACAUCAGAGAAUUUCAACAUGAAGCAAGUCAUCAGUGGUCAACAGCCAUGUGGUCAGGAGGAAAGAGCAAUCCAGCUUGAUAAGGCUGUGGAGUGGAGGCCAAUUCAGAUGGUUCACCUCAGGAGACCAUUGGAAUCCAAUGGAUUUUGGAAUGCUCUUGAAGAUUUCCCAGGCAUAGAGCUGGAGCUCCAGCUAAGGCCCUAGUCUCACUGUGGAUUGUUGUGAUACCAAAGGCCAUAGACUUGCUCCUGGCCAUGUGUCCUUAUCAACACUCUAGAGACCACUCUGCUCCUUGGAAUACUGGUGAUCUGUGGUCCAUAAAACAGGCUGGACAUCUGCUAGAGCGCAGAUGUCGUAAGACCCACAGUGAUGAUGACCAAACAUGCUCUGGAACACAUAACUGAGUCUAUUGCAGGAAGCAAAGAAGUGUUACAUUGUUGCUUCCAUUGUGUCCUCAAGUAGCCAUGUAGCAGGACUCUCCAGGGUGGUUCAGGGGCUGUUUACACCUGGGCCCCACAUAGAUCUGUGACCUUUUUGCAUCAUGCUUUGAGGCAAAAUUGCUUGUCUCUGCAGUGCUCUUGAUGCUGUUAGUGCAGCUCCAGUUGAAGUGUCAGCUGCCACCAUUUGCUUGAUUUUAUGGGAUCAAUUUCCAUUAUUAUGGCCUGAUAAUGUGGGCAAGAUGCUUGCAGCAGUGUGACUGACUACAUGCUCGCUUGAUCCUUACCCUUCCUGCCUGAUAAAAGCUAGCCAAGGAUGGUCUAACUGGGUGGGUCUGAAGAGUAGUAAAUGCAUCUUUGCCUGGAGGGGUGGGGUGGUGCCUGCUGUUCUUGAAGAGACAGUACUAUGCAGCCACACCUGGAAAAAACCCCCUCUGGACCCAACACUAUUUGAUGACUACCGUCCGGAAGCAAGCAAGCCCUUUUUAGAGAAGGUGGUUGAGCAACUGCAGGCACUCUUGGAGGAUGCUGGUGUCUAUUUCAGUCUUGGUUUUGACCUGGUUAUGGGAGUGAAUUAGUUUGGGCUGCCUUGAUGACUGAUCUCUAUUAAGAAAGAGACGGGAGUGUCCCCCUGCCAGUUCUACUUGAUCUUUCACCAGUUUUUGAUAGCCUUGACCAGGGUAGCCUCCUGGAUUGACUCUGAGUCAAUUAUUGAAGGCAGUGGUUCUAGUCUUAACUUAAAGGUCAGUUCCAAAGAGUAACACUGGGUGACUGUCAUUUCUUGAAUUGCUGCAGUUCCACAGGGGAUUCCUCAGUGUUACUUAAGAGGCAUAUGAAAUGGCUUGGCGUGGUUAUUAGAGGAUUUGGAGUGCCAUCAGUGAGCUGAUGACAGUCAGUUCUAUCUCCCUGCAACAGCUAAAUAAGGAGAGGCUGUGCAAGUCCUGGAUCAGUAUCUGGACUCAUUGAUGGCUGGAUAAAGGCCAAUAAACCGAAACUGAAUCCUGGAAAAACAGAAGCCUUGUGGUGAAUGAUUCUGGAAUCUGGAUGAUCAGUUUAUUACCUGUUCCCCCUGAAGCAGCACGUUCAUAGCCUGGGGGUACUCCUAGACCCAUUGUUGUUGAUAGAAUCCCAAGUGACUGUAGUGUAGUGCCUUUUGAUAGUGGCAACUUCCUCUGAACAGAGAUAGCUUGGCCACAGUGGCCGAUGCACUGGUAACCUCAAGACUAGAUUGUUAUAGUGUGCUUCAUGUGGGCCGACUCUUAAGGUUGUUCCCGAAGCUGCAGUUAGUGAAGAAUGCUGUGGGGAGCUGUCUUUUUUUUUACUUGCAGUUCCUUUGCUGAAGCAACUAUGCUGGCUUGGCUACCAGUUUGCUGCAAAGCCAGAUUUAAAGAUUUAGUACUAGUGUACAAAGUCUUGAACAACUUGAGGGCAGGAUAGAGAGAAAGCACCUUUUCUUGUGCCAACCUGCCUAGUCACUGAGGUCAUCAAAGGACAUUCUGAGGGUGAUUCCACAUGGAGCCAUGGCCUGUCUGAAGUCCACCAGGAGGAGCCUUCGUUACAGCAGUUCCAUUUCUAUAGAAUCCCCUGCCUUUAAAGAUUAGACAGGAUCUGAUGAAGAAUCAGAAGAAAAACAGGACAGUGAGAAACCAGUAGUAUAGCAAAUACGGCAAUAAGAG
Molecule: RNA transcript, 3043 nt
Organism: Varanus komodoensis (Komodo dragon)
Lineage: Eukaryota; Metazoa; Chordata; Lepidosauria; Squamata; Varanidae
Gene: STARD3NL
Gene name: STARD3 N-terminal like
Exons: 10
Source: RefSeq, a predicted model, not a curated record